ACUCUGGACAAAGAGAAUUCACCAGAAGAUAAAAUGUUCCCAAGUGUUUUGACUACACAUUUUCUACUUCAGACAUAAGAUUUGGGGAAGAGGCUUUACCUUGUGCAGAUAACCAUGGUAAAAGAAGGGCUAAAUCAGACUGGAGAAAAUGAGAGAAGAGGCUCUCCUCUUGCUCUUCCAUGAUCCCAUGGGCUUUACUUGCUAGUGAUGGAAAGGCAAAUCUUUAUCCUUUCCUUCUGUAUGGUUGACCUCUUGCAUUUAACCGUGCCUGCUUGGGAACUUGCUCAACCACUGAUGUGCUGGAAUACAUCAGUACAAUGUAAUUCCAGUGUACAGCCAUUGGCAAAGUGGUAUUGUCCCUAAAAGCAGGACUUGGGCUGCUUAGAGAAACAAACCUAUUUCUCAUCCAAACAGCUUGCUAAAGACCUGGACUACUUAAAGUACUUUAUUCCUUUCCAAGUGAUGUCAUGGCUUUGAAAUUACAUUGUAAAUGGAAUGAUAAGAGCAACAAGAAGUUUAUUAGUUUACCAUCAGAUAUUCCCUCUUCUUGUAUAGCUGCCACCAAGACUUUGUACCAGGGACCAGCACAAUCCUGAAGUCAAUUCAAAACGCCUGUUAAUAUAUAGGCAUAUAUCUGUCAUUCAGUGCAGCAUGAAGACCCCAAAACUUGAAAAUUAAUGUGGGACGAUGCUCUUGAUAAACUGCAGAUGUUGUCUGAUGGCUGCCUUUUCAUACAUAAAUGUUCUGAAACAGAUUCUGUCUUUUAGAGAGAAAUUAGGAAGAUAAGCUCAAGAAAGACCAUUAGGAUAUGUGCUAUGUAAGAACUACAUGAAAACUUACUUGAAGAUUUAGAGACUCUAACUAUCGUGCUCCUAGGAGGAGCCAGGUGGACUUUUUAGGUGCCUUAAUUGUUUGAAAUAACUCAAACUUGUGAAAGAACAGAUAGAAAUAGUACUCAUUUAUCAUUAAUGCCUUAAAUUAUAUUUAGGAUGGUCCCUUAAUCAGUCAUACAGACCACAGAUACUGACAGUAUUCCAGCGAACAGAGCCUGAACUUAAAAUGGAAAGAAAUAGAUUUAAAAAUGAUUUCAUCAAAGACAGAAAGUGCUGGUUUAAAUGUGUAAAACUAUUAAUUAAAUUCUGCUAGAUGAAGUCACUGUCAGCAACAGCAGAAUACAGAAUAUUAUACUAUUCACUUAGGGAUAAAUCACUUAAUCUAAUAAAAUACAGCCAUUCGCAAUCUUUGGUACACUACCUUAUAAAAUCUAUAGCAUAUUUUCAAACUGGGAUAAAUCAAAAGGUUCAGUCACAGAACAUUUAGGCAUAAAACUGACAAUCAACUUUAUGCAUCUAGUUUCAUUUAUAUCUACAUUCUUUUGAAGAAUGCUUUAUGAUAUGUGAAUAGCAUUUUAGCGUAUCUUUUAUCCAUGCCUUUCCCAGUUUUAUUAACACCUUUUAACCUUUUUUCAACAUUUCCAAUGUGGAGUUUAGCAAAUAUUAAAUAUGCAAUAGCGUGAAAAGCCCUGAAAAUAUAGGAUGAGAAUAGAGACAGCUGUAAAGAACCUUUACUCUGCAACCAUAUUAUAUAAUUAGCCAAAGCAAAGGAUAAAACCAGGACGAGCAAGGUUGUAUGGUGUUAGAUAGAGAAUUAGUAGAGAAAUAUUCAGGGCAGGGGCCAAAAUAGCAUCCAGGAGAUGCUGAUUGUUACGGAGAACUGAAGAAAUCAGAAAAUGAAAACGAACAGAGCCAAAUAAGAGUUCUGUUUAUUGAAAAAUCAGUAUUUGCAUGAGCAGAGGGAAGAAUGCAAAAAGAAAGAUGAGAGAGGGGCAUGAGUGCAUAGUUAUUCAGUGAGCACUGCUACAGCUGGGCUAUGUCACACAGGCCUGGGAGCCAAGGAUCCAUGAUACUCGAAAGUAGGCAGUGAGACAAGACCUAUCAGGUGACAGACAACUAGAAUAUUUCCUUCCUUUCAGAUAGAGCAGUACCAACUACCCUAAACCACCGAGGGACUGAAGAACUAGAAGAGAACUGCAGCAGCUUGUAAUUAACUUAAUGAAAGAACUUAGGGAAAGGCAGUCAUUCCUGUUCUCAGCUGAGUAACUUCAUUUAGAGCAUCGGGAAAGAGCGUAGCUAAAGCAGCUAGAGCUUGGCUGAGAAUCACGGGACUUAAGUUUUUCUAUCUGCAGCUGGAGAAUGGGAAAGAAGUGACUCACCUCAACCUUGUUUAAUCUCUCUUAUGAAAUGCUGACCUUCAAAAUUUCAGGAAAUUUCAAGUUACUGGAAAAACGGCAGUCUAUAUACAACAGAGUCAAUCUAGGAAGCAACAGAGCUUAUAUACUGUACAAUUCUAAGUGUCUGGGCUAUGGUCUCAAGUAUUGGUCCUUGAUUCUCCAUAGCGUACACGUGGCAUUUUGUGUCACGGCCAUGGCCUGCGCCCAGCAGUGCAUUGCCUGGGCACAAUUCACAGAAUGGCAACAAGGAAAGAUUUGUCUCUUUACCUGUUGAGGAUUAGGCCACCAUUUUGGGGGGUGAAUAACACUACUGCUGAUAAACUUUUCAGAUGGGUUUAGAUGUCUACAAAUAAAACAUUUCAUUG
Molecule: long non-coding RNA, 2595 nt
Organism: Gallus gallus (chicken)
Lineage: Eukaryota; Metazoa; Chordata; Aves; Galliformes; Phasianidae
Source: Ensembl